GGGGGCUGUAAGUGCAAUCAAGCCCUAGUGGGUUUUGGUGCUAAUGACCACACAAUUAGAGGACUAAUGAGAUUUGUUGAGAUGACAAGCAGGUAAAAUAAGAAUGAGGAUAACACAUGAGAUGUGAGAUGGAAAAAGCCCAAUUUACCAAAUGUGUUGGUCCAUUGAUGGAGUUGAUUGAAAGCAUUCGGUGAUUUAUAGCACUCCAAGUUUUCAAUAGACGAAUGGCGUUUCGACUCAAGUGGCUACAA
Molecule: long non-coding RNA, 251 nt
Filed under: Sorghum bicolor (sorghum)
Lineage: Eukaryota; Viridiplantae; Streptophyta; Magnoliopsida; Poales; Poaceae
Description: long non-coding RNA (SBIC_LNC008977)
Source: RNAcentral